UACGUAGGGGGCUAGCGUUGUCCGGAUUUAUUGGGCGUAAAGAGCUCGUAGGCGGUCUGUUGCGUCUGCUGUGAAAACCCGGGGCUUAACCCCUGGCUUGCAGUGGAUACGGACAGACUAGAGGUAGGUAGGGGAGAAUGGAAUUCCCGGUGUAGCGGUGAAAUGCGCAGAUAUCGGGAGGAACACCGGUGGCGAAGGCGGUUCUCUGGGCCUUACCUGACGCUGAGGAGCGAAAGCGUGGGGAGCGAACAGG
Molecule: ribosomal RNA, 253 nt
Filed under: uncultured bacterium
Lineage: Bacteria
Description: partial 16S ribosomal RNA
Rfam family: Bacterial small subunit ribosomal RNA
Source: RNAcentral